This 77-nucleotide transfer RNA is filed under the name Acidimicrobiales bacterium. Its description in RNAcentral is "tRNA-Arg". It matches the Rfam family "tRNA". Rfam says of the family: Transfer RNA (tRNA) molecules are approximately 80 nucleotides in length. Their secondary structure includes four short double-helical elements and three loops (D, anti-codon, and T loops). Lineage: Bacteria; Bacillati; Actinomycetota; Acidimicrobiia; Acidimicrobiales. RNAcentral also lists the same sequence under 1 other name. The record is from RNAcentral.
GCCUCCGUAGCUCAGUCGGAUAGAGCGGCCGCCUUCUAAGCGGCGGGUCGCAGGUUCGAGUCCUGCCGGGGGCACCA